This 303-nucleotide ribosomal RNA is filed under the name uncultured bacterium. Its description in RNAcentral is "partial 16S ribosomal RNA". It matches the Rfam family "Bacterial small subunit ribosomal RNA", at positions 507 to 809 of the family's 1533-position model. The record is from RNAcentral.
AGCAGUAGCCACGGUAAUACGAGGGGGGCAAGCGUUGUUCGGAAUUAUUGGGCGUAAAGGGUGCGUAGGCGGUUUGGCAAGUUUGGUGUGAAAUCUUCGGGCUCAACUCGAAGUCUGCAUCGAAAACUGCCGGGCUUGAGUAUGGGAGAGGUGAGUGGAAUUUCCGGUGUAGCGGUGAAAUGCGUAGAUAUCGGAAGGAACACCUGUGGCGAAAGCGGCUCACUGGACCAUAACUGACGCUGAUGCACGAAAGCUAGGGGAGCAAACAGGAUUAGAUACCCCCGUAGUCCCUGUCUCUUAUAA